AGUGCACGAAGACGCUGUCGGGAGAGCCCAGGAUUCAACACGGGCCUUGAGAAAUGUGGCUCUUGUACCUCCUGGUGCCGGCCCUGUUCUGCAGGGCAGGAGGCUCCAUUCCCAUCCCUCAGAAGUUAUUUGGGGAGGUGACUUCCCCUCUGUUCCCCAAGCCUUACCCCAACAACUUUGAAACAACCACUGUGAUCACAGUCCCCACGGGAUACAGGGUGAAGCUCGUCUUCCAGCAGUUUGACCUGGAGCCUUCUGAAGGCUGCUUCUAUGAUUAUGUCAAGAUCUCUGCUGAUAAGAAAAGCCUGGGGAGGUUCUGUGGGCAACUGGGUUCUCCACUGGGCAACCCCCCGGGAAAGAAGGAAUUUAUGUCCCAAGGGAACAAGAUGCUGCUGACCUUCCACACAGACUUCUCCAACGAGGAGAAUGGGACCAUCAUGUUCUACAAGGGCUUCCUGGCCUACUACCAAGCUGUGGGUGAGUAGCCCCCCAGGGAUCCCUUUUCUCUGACCUCAGCCAUAUUGAAUGGGGGCCAAGAAAGAGAAUCUUGAAUGCAAAGAAGCCGAAAGCUGGCUUUCCUUGUUCCUCCCCUCGA
Molecule: small RNA, 595 nt
Filed under: Pan troglodytes (chimpanzee)
Lineage: Eukaryota; Metazoa; Chordata; Mammalia; Primates; Hominidae
Description: retained intron
Source: RNAcentral